CCAGAGACUCCUGAUUUGGGAUAGGCGCAAAAAUUCGGCGGGGUAAUACAUUAGUACAAAAGAAGUCCGAGUUCGAUGUCAGAAUAGGUAACAAAAUAACCUAAGCAAAAUGACAACGUGUAUAAUACUGGUGGUUAAAACCAUCAACUUCUAAACUAUUCCGUUUGGGUUUUACUCAUGGUUUAAGGCCGUGCAGUGACUUUUAACUGCAAACAUGCAGUUCAUUUAAACUUUGUUGUUUCCUUGGAAC
RNAcentral lists this long non-coding RNA (250 nucleotides) under Mytilus galloprovincialis (Mediterranean mussel). Lineage: Eukaryota; Metazoa; Mollusca; Bivalvia; Mytilida; Mytilidae. The record is from RNAcentral.